AUGAUCUGGAUCCGCCAGAGGCCCGGGAACUCUCCGGAUUACAUUGCGUGUAUCACCUAUGAUGGCAGCACCUGGUACGAAUCGUCGGUCAAGGGCCGCUUCAGGAUCUCAAGGGACAACGGGCAGAGCUCGCGGGCGGCCGUGACCCUGCUGGAGUGCGGGGGGGACCUCCAGCCCCCCGGGGGGUCCCUGACUCUGCUCUGCCGCACCUCUGGGUUCGAUUUUGGGAGUUACACCAUGAUCUGGAUCCACCAGAGCCCUGGGAAGGCGCUGGAAUGGAUUGGGCAGAUCAGCAUCGGGGGCACCACCUGGUACGCGCCGUCAGUGCAGGGUCGGUUCUCGAUCUCCAGGGACAACGGGCAGAGCUCGGUGACGCUGACCAUGAACAACCUCAAGGACGAGGAUUCCGCCGUUUAUUUCUGUGCCAGAAAUGCUGGUGGUCAUUGGGUUGAAGUUGGCGGUGCUGCUGCUGGUUUUUAUCCCACCCCCAUCUUGGCAUUGCCACUGAUCCCCAAAUGUCACCAGACCCCAACCCUUGACCCCGACCUUGAGCACUGA
Non-coding RNA from Catharus ustulatus (Swainson's thrush), 558 nucleotides. The record is from the annotation of a RefSeq genome assembly. NCBI's taxonomy places the organism in Eukaryota, Metazoa, Chordata, Aves, Passeriformes, Turdidae.